RNAcentral lists this ribosomal RNA (465 nucleotides) under uncultured bacterium. Its description in RNAcentral is "partial 16S ribosomal RNA". It matches the Rfam family "Bacterial small subunit ribosomal RNA", at positions 28 to 507 of the family's 1533-position model. The record is from RNAcentral.
GACGAACGCUGGCGGCGUGCUUAAUACAUGCAAGUCGAACGGAAAGGCCCCUUUGGGGGUACUCUAGUGGCGAACGGGUGAGUAACACGUGAGUAACCUGCCCUUGACUUCGGGAUAACUUCAGGAAACUGGGGCUGAUACCGGAUAGGAAUCCUUGCUGCAUGGUGGGGGUUGAAAAGUUUCGGGGGUUUUGGAUGGCUCUGCGGCUUAGCUGCUUGUUGGUGGGGUGAGGUGUUACCAUGGCUUGGACGGGAAGCCGCCCGGAGUGGGCGACCGGCCACAUUGGGACUGAGAGACGGCCCAGACUCCUACGGGAGGCAGAAGUGGGGAAUAUUGCACAAUGGGCGGAAGCCUGAUGCAGCAACGCCGCGUGCGGGAUGACGGCCUUCGGGUUGUAAACCGCUUUCAGCAGGGGCGAAGCUUGUGGUGACGGUACCUGCAGAAGAAGCACCGGCUAACUACGUG